Etheostoma spectabile (orangethroat darter) is the source of this 1349-nucleotide long non-coding RNA. RefSeq lists it as uncharacterized. The record is from RefSeq and is a predicted model, not a curated record. Lineage: Eukaryota; Metazoa; Chordata; Actinopteri; Perciformes; Percidae. The transcript has 3 exons.
GUUGAAGUGGAAGAAGUGCACUGCGCAUCCCCCAAAAUCAUUUUAUAAAUUGAAUCACAGCUUUGGGCUGAGUUCCAACGCAUCACAAAAGUCAUCCUAUGGAACCAGUUCUAUGCUGUGCUUGGCCAAUAUACACCUGGACUGGUGGCCUUGUAUAGGCAGAAGGCGGAAUUUGGUCAGCACAUCCAUACUGAAAGAAGUAUGAAAUAUGUGAUAUUCAUUUUUGCUUGUUCUUCCAGGCAGUGUGCAAUGUCAAUAUAAAGCGUACUGUAGCCCUUUGUGCCCUCCCGGUAUACCUGCGUGAAGAGGACCCUCAGUUCUUCAAGACUUGGAAUGUGGAGGAGUCAGAUGAGCCAGGCAUCAGUGACACUCCUGCUGCUCUCUUCACAGCAGUCACAGAGGACACUGCAGAUCCAGUUCAUUUCAGUCCUGCAAACAUUUCUAUUGUUGUGGAAGACGAUGUUGUGAUGAGAGAUAUCCCUAACUUGGAUGAUGCAUUUGCAUUGUUUGGGUUGAUAUACACAUUGCAUUUGGACUAUCCCAAGAAACUCUUUCACACUUUUACAUUCAUCCAGAAAAUCCUACUGGGUCUUGGUGAUGGUAAACCACUUAAACCCAGCCUACUGAGUCUCAAAAAUGACCUGUUAAUGAAAGAGUAGGCUAACUUAAGAGUUGUGUUCACAAGAAAAUACACAUCUGCAUGUUGUGUUUUUGGGGUUCCCAGUAUAGUAACACCAUGUUAGUCAAAGCAUUUAAAACUGUUUACAUUUUGCGGAUCAUGUCUUGCCCACCAAAUCUAACAUAGUUGCUGUUGUUUAUACUAAACUUAAUAAAACAGAGAGCUAAAGCUGACAGGAUAAAAGCAAAGAGCGGGAAGAUGUUUGUCUAUAGAGUGAGUAUAUAGAGAGAGCAAACUCAAGCAGAGAAAGUUAAAAUAGUCACAAGUUUGGGUAUCAGAUAUUUAUCUGAUACACCAAUACACACCAGUAAAUGAUUGGAUUUGGAUUACCUGUGAGGUUUAUCAGGAAUGAAAAAAACCAAAACGGUUAAAGGUCAUAAUAUAAGACUUAUGAGACUGUUUAGCUACGGGCAAACGAGAUAUGUUAUUUAAUCUCUGCUCUACGUUUUUUUCUAAAUAUGCAACUUUUUGCUGGCAUUAGCAAUGCAAAUGUGGCGGGAUUAUGUAGAAAAUGAAUACAAAAUUGAAAUAGUUUGUUCUGUUUUAGCAAUACAACUGCUCCACUUUGAGACCACAGAUGUUGUUUGAUACAUGCGGAGUCUUUUACCACUGGUGGUAAGCAGUUGGUGCUACAAUACCUUUUGUGUGAUGGCUUUAACUGGAGUUAUGA